CGCUUGAACGUGUAAGCCGCCAUCAACAACACGACAGCCGCGAAGAAGUGCCAUUGCAUGUCGAACGCGUUUGCCCAUGCAACAGAGAAAAGCUUGCGGCUCAGCGCAUUGCACGUGAUCAGCAGGGCAUUUGCGAGCAGCGCCCAACGCACGACGUCGGCUAUCCGUUCGUUUAACCUGUCAAUGGACGCCGCGGCCUGAAGCAGUAUCCGC
Molecule: unclassified non-coding RNA, 213 nt
Filed under: Hevea brasiliensis (rubber tree)
Lineage: Eukaryota; Viridiplantae; Streptophyta; Magnoliopsida; Malpighiales; Euphorbiaceae
Source: RNAcentral